RNAcentral lists this ribosomal RNA (324 nucleotides) under uncultured bacterium. RNAcentral's name for it is "bacterial SSU rRNA". It matches the Rfam family "Bacterial small subunit ribosomal RNA", at positions 188 to 507 of the family's 1533-position model. The record is from RNAcentral.
GGAAGGCGGGGACCGAAAGGCCUCGCGCUGGAGGAGCGGCCGAUGUCCGAUUAGCUAGUUGGUGAGGUAAAGGCUCACCAAGGCGACGAUCGGUAGCUGGUCUGAGAGGAUGAUCCGCCACACUGGGACUGAGACACGGCCCAGACUCCUACGGGAGGCAGCAGUGGGGAAUUUUGGACAAUGGGCGCAAGCCUGAUCCAGCCAUGCCGCGUGCGGGACGAAGGCCUUCGGGUUGUAAACCGCUUUCAGCCGGAAAGAAAUCGCCAAGGCUAAUAUCCUUGGUGGAUGACGGUACCGGAAGAAGAAGCACCGGCUAACUACGUG